Long non-coding RNA from Lemur catta (Ring-tailed lemur), 2657 nucleotides. RefSeq lists it as uncharacterized. The record is from RefSeq and is a predicted model, not a curated record. NCBI's taxonomy places the organism in Eukaryota, Metazoa, Chordata, Mammalia, Primates, Lemuridae. The transcript is spliced from 4 exons.
CACCUGGCUGAUUUUUUUUUUUUCAAUUUUUAGUGGAUGUGGAGUCUCAAUAUGUUUCCCAGGCUGAUCUUCAACUCUUGGUCACAGCCUUCCUGCCUCGGCCACCCAAAGCACUGGGAUUACAGGCAUGAGCCACUGGCCCUGGCCCUGUUGUAGCGAAUUAAUGAACCGUAGGAGGAGUGUGGGUCGCUAAGUGCCCCUGGGACUGAGGACCCUCAUCUGAGGUCAGGAGUGGAGUGAGGGGCUGAAAGUUCCAACUCUCUAAUCAUGGCGUGAUCUUUCUGAUGACCAGCUGCUAGUCUGAAGCUGUCUAGGGGCCCUCCAAGGGUCACCUCAUUAGUAUAAACUCAGUGCUUUCCCCACACAGCAGCCCAAGUGAUCUUAAAAAAAAAAAAAGAAAGAAAAGGAUCACAUCACUCUAUUUCAGAUAGUUCUCAGAAAUAAAGUGUGUAGGAGGUAGAGUCCUGGCCCCCAAAGCUGUCUACGUCCUAAUUCUGGUACCUGUGAAUAUGUAACCUCAUAUGGCAACAGGAACUUCGCAGAGUCUACCUCCCCCCACAGAUAACCUCCUCUGCUGGAAUUAGGGCAGAGGCCCAUUGCCAGAACAGUGCCUGGCCCAUCGAAGGUGCAAAUAGUCCAUGGGAUGACUGUGAACCAUUUUGGUUGUGGAGGAAGUAACACCAGCGAAGUGCCAUGGUGAAAUAAAACAAGCUUUGAUAUAGAGGGUGUGUAGGUGGCUUGUGUGGUUAAGAAGAGUGAUUUAUUCUUGAGAUAGUGUCAGUCUUAUAAAUAGAAGGUUGUACUGUUACCGAAAGUUCGGCAUUGUCCCCGAGGCCACAUUAGAAGAGCAAGGACAAGUGGUUUGAGGAGAAGGCAAGAAAAGUUUAUUAAUUUGUUGGCAAAUGAGGAAAAUGGCAGAUUCACGUCUCAAAGUACCAUUGUUCUCUCUAUAAGGAGAAACAGAGUUUUAAAGGGAGUUUUCAUCUUGGGGCUGUUGUUGUUUAACCAUAUUUGAUGGUCUUGAUUGACUCCAUUUCCUGUGAAGACAAUCUUGUGACCCCUCUCCGGACAAUUCCAUUGAGUCAUUUUCUGUGGUAUAAAAUAAUAACACUCCCCUGUCCCUCUGAUUACUGGCCUCAGACGGGGAUGCAGGUUUUAGUUCCCAAAAAGGGUGAGGAGGUUUUAAAGAGACAGCUCGUAAAACAUUUUAUCUUUUUUUAUAGGCUGUUACCUCUGUUAUGUAUUUCCCACUGUCAGUUUUAUCCUUUCAUAUCUAUGGGUGGAGGGGCAGCGUAGUCAUUGAGUUAUUUUCUGUUGAGUUGGGGCAAUGUUUUAAAUGGAAGGUUUAUACUUAAUUUAUGUCAUGGUAAAGUUUUGACAGUAGAUUUAUGAAAAUACGAAUGCAGCAGAUUACCAGGUGAAAAAGGGCAUGAGCAACAACUACAACCGUGAGGAUUGACAAGGUGAAAUGGAGGAGGAUACCUGAUAGCGAUUUUACCCCCCCUGGUAUCUAAGACACCAGUUGGACUGUGAGUCCUUCCUGUCACCUUGCACACAAUGUCUGAUACAGGGCUGGGAAACAUGGGACCUCUGAGUGUGGAGUUAUUGGCUGUACCCUGUAGGUGAUCCGAGAGACUGGCUUCUUUAGAUUUAGAAAUCAUGUACAGGAAUACUUGUACCGAACGAGGUUUAGAUGACAAACCCAGCAGUGAGACAGAUCUGUAGAAGAGGUAAUAGCCCAGGGGAAUCUUCAUUGAAGAGUUAUCUCUCCGUCUUAUAGACAGAACAAAAACCAAAGAAAGGUUAGCGAAAAUAUCAACAUUUUUCUUUUUAUUUUAUUUUAAACAGCUAUUUUAGAUACUCUAAAAGUUGGUCCAUCCACUGGGGGCUUGGGUCCUCUUUUUUUAUAGGAUGCUUCUUUACUCUGGUGUGAUGGGCCCAAGGUACUUUAUGGGGUCUCUUUUACUUUUCUGUUUUUAACAGGGUUGGGGAACUGAAAGAGACAAACUUACAUAUAAUGGUUAGUAUCUGAGUUUGUUGUAAAUGGGAUCCUCUUAAAUGAGGUCCCACCAAAUCCAUUAAGGUAUCACACCUUUAAUGUGUGUAUUUAUGUAGGUGCCUUAUAAGGGGCCGAACCAAGGCUUUGGGUAGGAGAAUGAGUUCGUGAGAAUUUUAUGAAUAUAUAAUUUAAAUUUCUUUUGUAAGUCAGGCUACCCCAAAGUGGGGGCAGUCAUAAGACUCUGUUUCAGUUGUUUCAAGGCAUUUUGACAGUCUGUGGGUCAGAUCAGGGGCUCCACAUCUAUGCCUGUAGGAGUCCUCUACAAGGGCUUUGUUAUUAGUCCAAAGUUUGGGAUUCAGAUGUGACAGAAUCCUGUUAUUUUUAGGAACCCAUGUAGUUGCCAAGGUAAAUAACCUGUUGUUUGUAAAUCUGUCUGAUUGUAGGUUUCUCAGGCUGCCUGCUGAGCUCUCAUUAAACAGGGCAGGAGAGCCCUUUUCAACAGUCCAGCAGUGCUGUGAGGCCACCCUGGUCCCAGGAUCCUGUCAUUUAAAUGUGACUGAGUACUAUUUGUAGUCACUUAUACAGCAUCAUUGAUGGCACAUAGGUCUGGUAUGAAUCUGUGUUCACUGGUAUGGGGAAUUAAAAUGUUUUUGGUGCA